UACGGAGGGUGCAAGCGUUAAUCGGAAUUACUGGGCGUAAAGCGUGCGCAGGCGGUUUUGUAAGUUUGUCGUGAAAUCCCCGGGCUCAACCUGGGAAUUGCGAUGAAGACUGCAAGGCUAGAAUCUGGCAGAGGGGGGUAGAAUUCCACGUGUAGCAGUGAAAUGCGUAGAGAUGUGGAGGAACACCGAUGGCGAAGGCAGCCCCCUGGGUCAAGAUUGACGCUCAUGCACGAAAGCGUGGGGAGCAAACAGG
RNAcentral lists this ribosomal RNA (253 nucleotides) under uncultured bacterium. Its description in RNAcentral is "partial 16S ribosomal RNA". It matches the Rfam family "Bacterial small subunit ribosomal RNA", at positions 524 to 776 of the family's 1533-position model. The record is from RNAcentral.